GCAGACACAUUCCAGCCAAUCAGCAGCAGACCCUCCCUCCCAGACCCUCCCACCUCCUGGACAGCAUUUUACAUUCAUUGUGAAGCUGCAUUCUUAGUGAGCUGUCCAGGAGGUGGGAGGGUCUGGGAGGGAGGGUCUGCUGCUGAUUGGCUGGAAUGUGUCUG
RNAcentral lists this microRNA precursor (164 nucleotides) under Pelobates cultripes (western spadefoot toad). The record is from RNAcentral. Lineage: Eukaryota; Metazoa; Chordata; Amphibia; Anura; Pelobatidae.